Molecule: small nucleolar RNA, 129 nt
Filed under: Catagonus wagneri (Chacoan peccary)
Lineage: Eukaryota; Metazoa; Chordata; Mammalia; Artiodactyla; Tayassuidae
Description: Small nucleolar RNA SNORA11 (ENSCWAG00000019630.1)
Rfam family: Small nucleolar RNA SNORA11
About the family: U107 (SNORA11) is a member of the H/ACA class of snoRNAs that guide the sites of modification of uridines to pseudouridines. This snoRNA was identified by RT-PCR from blood cells and its expression confirmed by Northern blot analysis.
Source: Rfam by way of RNAcentral
GGAGUGUGCUCAGAGCAAGGGGCAUGAAAAAAUGGCUCCUCUGUUGAUAACAUACCCAAAAGGAAUCUGGGUUAAUUGUAAAAGGGGCAUAAAACUUGUGGCCUUCCUAAGAACAAAUGUCUAACAUGC